CUUCUUGUCACACUGCCCGCUUAACCCGGAGGAUUGCAACCAACUGAAAGGAGCAUACACUGCCACCUACUGUACUGAUAUGGGCGGACCGGAAACCCAGUUACAAAACUCAGGUCUACAGCUGCCAUUUUCUGGUAGGAAAGAGAAAUGGCCCAGUAUUUAGCAUAAAAGGUAGCUCAUCCACCAUGGCAGAAGAGGAAGAUCAUCCACCAUGGCAGAAGAGGAACAUCAUCCACCAUGGCAGAAGAGGAAGAUCAUCCACCAUGGCAGAAGAGGAAGAUCCAGACUGUUGAUUGGGAAACCAGAACAAACAAUGAGACAUUGGGUGUUGCGGGACCACUUGUCACAUUGUCCAAGUCCAACAGGAGUGCAUCCUCAGACCAUCCGGUGCAUGGACAACCUGUGCCAGUGUGAUCCGAGCACGAGCUUCCAGUUGUGGAGACUACAUCACAUCGAGACAUGAGUCAUGACAUGCGGAACAUCAGGCUCACCCCACGAGAAGCAGUGCAUGAUCAACGUCACCCUCAGCAAGGAAAUCUGCUGGAAGUGAUGUCUUACCCCCAGAGUACAGGAAGGGAUGACUGGGGCCUUCAGCAAGUAAGACACAGAGGGUACUAACAGGAGGAGCAAUAGGAGUCUGCCAGAGGUCGUCACCCUGAAUGGGGAUGGAGGCUUUAGUGGUCCACACAACAAAGAAGUAGGUGUCCCUUCCAGUGAUGUGGAGCUGCUCUUGGACCUCACGGAGGCUGUAAGACCCUCCCUCCUUGAUAUAUAAAUCCUUCGACAUCCCUGCACCAUAGGGACACUUGACCUCCACCACUGCUGUGGUGCCCACAGGAUCCCAGACCCCAAGACCCAAAACCCUGACUCCUGCACAUUCAUCCCUGUAGCCAUUUUGAACGCCUUGACGUUCUCCUCUUCGUUAUCUGGGCCCCACUUUACAGACAACACCCAUCCAACGACUGAACACCAUGAAAUGCAUUCGUUGUAAGAAAUGUGCUAUAUAAAUAAAGUUUGAUUUGAUUUAUGACAUUACAGCUGUAGAAUAUUUAAUUGCAGUUUUUCCAUAAACUUUUAAUUGUUAACUUGGGAUUUUAUCACCUGACGUAUCAAUUAUAUAGUGGAAACGAUCCUUUAAACCAAGACUGUGUGAAUGCAUGUACCACU
Coregonus clupeaformis (lake whitefish) is the source of this 1167-nucleotide long non-coding RNA. RefSeq lists it as uncharacterized. The record is from RefSeq and is a predicted model, not a curated record. Lineage: Eukaryota; Metazoa; Chordata; Actinopteri; Salmoniformes; Salmonidae. The transcript is spliced from 6 exons.